Molecule: ribosomal RNA, 545 nt
Filed under: uncultured bacterium
Lineage: Bacteria
Description: partial 16S ribosomal RNA
Rfam family: Bacterial small subunit ribosomal RNA
Source: RNAcentral
UGGGGAAUUUUGGACAAUGGGCGCAAGCCUGAUCCAGCCAUGCCGCGUGCGGGAAGAAGGCCUUCGGGUUGUAAACCGCUUUUGUCAGGGAAGAAAUCUUCUGAGUUAAUACCUCGGGAGGAUGACGGUACCUGAAGAAUAAGCACCGGCUAACUACGUGCCAGCAGCCGCGGUAAUACGUAGGGUGCAAGCGUUAAUCGGAAUUACUGGGCGUAAAGCGUGCGCAGGCGGUUUUGUAAGACAGAGGUGAAAUCCCCGGGCUCAACCUGGGAACUGCCUUUGUGACUGCAAGGCUUGAGUGCGGCAGAGGGGGGAUGGAAUUCCGCGUGUAGCAGUGAAAUGCGUAGAUAUGCGGAGGAACACCGAUGGCGAAGGCAAUCCCCUGGGCCUGCACUGACGCUCAUGCACGAAACGUGGGGAGCAAACAGGAUUAGAUAGCCCUGGUAGUCCACGCCCUAAAACGAUGUCAACUGGUUGUUGGGGAAGGUUCCUUCUCAGUAACGUAGCUAACGCGUGAAGUUGACCGCCUGGGGAGUACGCCGCAA